Long non-coding RNA from Tympanuchus pallidicinctus (lesser prairie-chicken), 700 nucleotides. RefSeq lists it as uncharacterized. NCBI's taxonomy places the organism in Eukaryota, Metazoa, Chordata, Aves, Galliformes, Phasianidae. The transcript has 2 exons. The record is from RefSeq and is a predicted model, not a curated record.
ACCUGCACCCACCAGUAAUACCAGCUCCCCAGGCUGCAUGGGGGCUCAGGGGUGUGUGCUCCUCACAGAGCUGUGUGCAGAGCCCGGGGUGUAACGUGGGGUCAUAAUUUGCUGAGCACCCACAAGCUCAGGGCUCUGGGGCUUGGUCUCCAAUAGUGUGGAGUGGACAUGGUGUCUUGGCAGGACAAAGCUCGUACUCGGAGUCAUUCCUCUAGCUUGUCUGGGGAGCUGGAGCAAGGUGAUAUGUGAGCAGCAAGUGAUGGCUGUGGUAAUUGUCAAAGAGGUAAUUAAAGCCACAGCACAGCCUAGGUUCUGGUUAAGCUCACAGUGGCAGUGGUGUUUGGUGAAAGGCCAGUGAAAGAGCAUUGCCAUCCUGGCUGUGCCUAACAGCACUGAAGUCUUCAAUACUGGAGUCUUCAAUAAGGUCCUGAAGUGCUCUACCUCCAGUACAGCUCCUUCUAUCUGCAUUCCAUCAGAGGGUUGUUGAAAGCAGAUUCCCAUUUACAGUAAGUUAAAAAUUAACCCUGCAUCAGGACUACAGGGCUCGGUGUGUGCCCGCCCGCCCCUCGGGCCACUGCAGUGCUGUUUGCAUGUCGAGCUGCACCCCUACAGCUCCCAGCAGGCCCUGCAUGGGAAAAAGAUGACGGGGCUCCCCUGAGCGGGUGGCCUUUCCAUCAUUCGUGUUCUCUAGACCCUUCAC